RNAcentral lists this ribosomal RNA (254 nucleotides) under uncultured bacterium. RNAcentral's name for it is "partial 16S ribosomal RNA". It matches the Rfam family "Bacterial small subunit ribosomal RNA", at positions 524 to 776 of the family's 1533-position model. The record is from RNAcentral.
UACGUAGGGUGCGAGCGUUGUCCGGAAUUAUUGGGCGUAAAGAGCUCGUAGGCGGUCUGUCGCGUCGGUCGUGAAAACUUGGGGCUUAACCCUGAGCUUGCGGUCGAUACGGGCAUGACUGGAGUUCGGCAGGGGAGACUGGAAUUCCUGGUGUAGCGGUGAAAUGCGCAGAUAUCAGGAGGAACACCGGUGGCGAAGGCGGGUCUCUGGGCCGAUACUGACGCUGAGGAGCGAAGGCCAGGGGAGCAAACGGG